RNAcentral lists this small nuclear RNA (277 nucleotides) under Jaculus jaculus (lesser Egyptian jerboa). Its description in RNAcentral is "7SK RNA (ENSJJAG00000004507.1)". It matches the Rfam family "7SK RNA". From Rfam's summary of the family: 7SK was discovered as an abundant small nuclear RNA in the mid-70s but a possible function has only recently been suggested. Two independent studies have found that 7SK RNA binds the CDK9/cyclin T complex (known as elongation factor P-TEFb). Lineage: Eukaryota; Metazoa; Chordata; Mammalia; Rodentia; Dipodidae. The record is from RNAcentral.
GGGUAAUCUGGCUGUGACAUCUGUCACCCCCCCUGAUUGUCAGGGUUGACUCAGCUGAUCUGGCUGGCCAAACUGUUGACCCAUUCCAUGCAUAUCCCUCCUGAAGUUGCAUGGCUGGUCGAGGAGGAUGACCUAUCUUACACGGAGGAUACACACAUACCUGAGGCCCCAACAGAGCUCUCCUCAAGACAAGAGAUGGUAAAUGCUGGUAAUGUUGAAGAGGAGGAAGCAGAGAAUGUGAAGUAUCCUCCAUGGGCUCAUGUGUUUGACCAGUUGG